Salvelinus sp. IW2-2015 is the source of this 767-nucleotide long non-coding RNA. RefSeq lists it as uncharacterized. The record is from RefSeq and is a predicted model, not a curated record. NCBI's taxonomy places the organism in Eukaryota, Metazoa, Chordata, Actinopteri, Salmoniformes, Salmonidae.
CGCGAUAUGGAUUGAAUCCAGCCCUUAACCAGGUUAGUCUCAUUAAGAUAAAAAAAUMUAUUUUUCUGAAAAUCCCUUAAAACAUGUGCAAUGGGAAUGUGUGGAGCCUACUGUAAGUAUCGAACAGUUUUUCACCACCAUGACGAAUAAGCCAAACCCCGAGAGGCAACCAAAAGAAGAAAAAAAGUCAGACAAAACCUCACAGACCCUUUAAAUGAGCCGUUCAAAAUUCUGAAAAGGACGUACCUUUUCAGGAAAAAAGAAAAAUAAGAAAAGAAACAAGAAACAGAAAAGUUAUCAGAGCCACUGUCUGUGUACCUCACAAUGGCUCUCGCUGAAGUUUGUGUCUCUUCUGAUCUUCUCCCAGCUGGACUUCUGAUUUCCACCCCGUCUCCUCUGAUCUGCCUGCAGACAUCCGACAGCCUUUUGCCAGCCUGUGAGCUGUCAAAGUACCCCUGGAAUCAAACGCCCAGCCAUCACAUCUCCAUGCUCUGGCAUGAUCAAAGAGGCACAGGCUGAGAUGACACGGCUCCUGGAGAACAGAGUCAAUGCAUCGAUCAGAAUCAAGGACAAGAGGUUGAUCAGUUUUGAAGAUAAGAGAGAUUAGUUAAUCUUGAUCUGACUGUCUCUAGGAAACUUUUGGACAAAAAGUUCAACACUUGUAGUGAGUUGUCUGAACACUGAAGAAUUUGAAUUUAAGAUGGAAUUUUCAUCACCUUCCGUCUAAAGUUCAUGUUUAAGUCAUUCAUUAAAUACAUAUAUAUAUA